This 946-nucleotide long non-coding RNA is filed under the name Sus scrofa (pig). Its description in RNAcentral is "lncRNA (ENSSSCG00070021801.1)". The record is from RNAcentral. Lineage: Eukaryota; Metazoa; Chordata; Mammalia; Artiodactyla; Suidae.
CGUGCUUUACGGAGCUAAGCCUUGCCCAGAAGAGGAAAGAAGACAGCAGAGACAGCUCAGGGAGUGUGGCAGGAUGCUGUCAUGACCCUGUGUAAGACUCCAGCUGAGUGCUGUGUGUAUUUAUAGACACACACACACACACAGACACGCAGGCAUGGGAAACGUGCCCUGGAACAAACGUACUGUUUGUUUCCUGGAAACAUGCCCUUCCUUGCCAACUUGCCAGAUUUCCCAGAUCACAUCAUCCUGAAGCAGGGAAAAUUAUGUCUUCUUAUUCCCGGCAUCCACCUGCCACAUGAAGAGAGAUCUUUGGAAAACGGAUCUGACCACUUCUCUGCCCUUUGGAAGACUGGAGCGAUUUCACCUUGUCCUCGGGGAACGAGCUUAAAUUCUCGUGAUGCUGAGAAGAGGGCAGGAGCGGAUAAGUCAAGCACACAAACCAUGGAGAAAAACUUAAGGAUACUUUCCACACCCCAAGCAACAGGCACAUCCCUCUGGGGUGCAACCUAGAAAAGGGAGACAGCAGGCAACACACAAAGGGAAGAAGAUGUGAAACCUGAACUUUUGAGCGUCUAAGGAUCCUGGUCCUAGCAAUUUAAAGGUAGUGUCAGAAAAUUUCAAUUUGGUUUAUUAUAAUGUAUUUGGACUGUAAAGAAACUGAUUAAGAACCUAAAUCCUGAGUUGGGUACAAUUACACUGUAGAGUGACCUCAGAACUUUGAAUGUUGGAUAAAUUCAACUUUCUCUCCCUAGGCUUGAAUGUAGAAAGAAAAAGGAUGAGAACAAAUGUAAAGUGCUUUCUGGCUCUUAUCAAUGUUCUAUACAAAGUUUACAAACUAAUCACCAAUGAUGAGACUAAUAAGACACUUCCUGGGUAAUGGGAGUGUGUGGAGGGUAAGACUUCUGUGCUUCUGUCCCCCAAAUAAAGACUGUUUCCCCCUAGUUCA